GAUGAACGCUGGCGGCGUGCCUAAUACAUGCAAGUCGAGCGAACAGAUGAUGAGCUUGCUCCUCUAACGUUAGCGGCGGACGGGUGAGUAACACGUGGAUAACCUACCUAUAAUACUGGGAUAACUUCGGGAAACCGGAGCUAAUACCGGAGAAUAUAUUGAACCGCAUGGUUCAAUAGUGAAAGACGGUUUUGCUGUCACUUAGAGAUGGAUCCGCGCCGCAUUAGCUAGUUGGUAAGGUAACGGCUUACCAAGGCAACGAUGCGUAGCCGACCUGAGAGGGUGAUCAGCCACACUGGAACUGAGACACGGUCCAGACUCCUACGGGAGGCAGCAGUAGGGAAUCUUCGGCAAUGGGCGCAAGCCUGACGGAGCAACACCGCGUGAGUGAUGAAGGUCUUCGGAUCGUAAAGCUCUGUUAUUAGGGAAGAACAAAUGUAUAAGUAAAUAUGCACGUCUUGACGGUACCUAAACAGAAAGCACCGGCUAACUACGUG
Molecule: ribosomal RNA, 497 nt
Filed under: uncultured bacterium
Lineage: Bacteria
Description: partial 16S ribosomal RNA
Rfam family: Bacterial small subunit ribosomal RNA
Source: RNAcentral